RNAcentral lists this ribosomal RNA (253 nucleotides) under uncultured bacterium. Its description in RNAcentral is "partial 16S ribosomal RNA". It matches the Rfam family "Bacterial small subunit ribosomal RNA", at positions 524 to 776 of the family's 1533-position model. The record is from RNAcentral.
UACAGAGGUGGCAAGCGUUGUUCGGAAUUACUGGGCGUAAAGGGCGCGUAGGCGGCCCGCUAAGUCGAACGUGAAAUCCCCAGGCUCAACCUGGGAACUGCGUCCGAUACUGGCAGGCUUGAAUCCGGGAGAGGGAUGUGGAAUUCCAGGUGUAGCGGUGAAAUGCGUAGAUAUCUGGAGGAACACCGGUGGCGAAGGCGGCAUCCUGGACCGGUAUUGACGCUGAGGCGCGAAAGCUAGGGGAGCAAACGGG